AACGAACGCUGGCGGCAUGCCUAACACAUGCAAGUCGAACGGGACCUUCGGGUCUAGUGGCGCACGGGUGCGUAACGCGUGGGAACCUGCCCUUAGGUUCGGAAUAACUCCCCGAAAGGGGUGCUAAUACCGGAUAAUGUCUUCGGACCAAAGAUUUAUCGCCUUUGGAUGGGCCCGCGUUGGAUUAGCUAGUUGGUAGGGUAAAAGCCUACCAAGGCGACGAUCCAUAGCUGGUCUGAGAGGAUGAUCAGCCACACUGGGACUGAGACACGGCCCAGACUCCUACGGGAGGCAGCAGUGGGGAAUAUUGGACAAUGGGCGAAAGCCUGAUCCAGCAAUGCCGCGUGAGUGAUGAAGGCCUUAGGGUUGUAAAGCUCUUUUACCCGGGAUGAUAAUGACAGUACCGGGAGAAUAAGCGCCGGCUAACUCCGUG
This 433-nucleotide ribosomal RNA is filed under the name uncultured bacterium. RNAcentral describes it as "partial 16S ribosomal RNA". It matches the Rfam family "Bacterial small subunit ribosomal RNA", at positions 29 to 507 of the family's 1533-position model. The record is from RNAcentral.